AGCGUGUGCGUGUGUGCCUACUAGCCUGCUCCCCGCCACCGCCACCGCCACUGCCGAUCGAAACAUAAAAGCGAAACGAAAGAGGUGGUGGACAUCGACGCCGGCCAAUCACGAGCAACGCGAUAACGCACCUGAUCGCACACGCGCACGACAAGAUGCUGAACUGCUUCUUUGGCGCUGAGCUGAAGCCGGACGGGGUCCCGAUAAGCUUCACCAUUCCAAAGGGGACGACGCUCGUCAUCACGCAGUGCGCUGUCACGAGUGUGGUGCCGCCACAGCAGUCGACGGACGCCGGCGCGUCUUCGUCUCCAGCAGUGGCAGCCAAGGCGUACAGCCCUGUUACACUGUGCGUGCAGGGUCACGGCCUGCCCACUCGCUUCGCCGUCUGCUCUUUGUCCCCGGCGCAGCAUAUCACGUACUGCCCCUUGCAGCUUCUCUUCUCUAAGCCGGUGUCGUUUGUGCUCGUGCCGCAGACGGGGUCUACGGCUGCUGCUGGUGCGUCGUCGUCACCCUCGCCAGCUCCGCAUCCAGGUAAGAAGACGAGGCGGAAUCAGAAGCACAACAAAACCGCAGCAGGUGCUCAUGGUGCUGGCGCAGAAGCCACCGCUGCCUACCCGACGGUGCACCUGACCGGCUACUAUGAGCGUGCCGCAGACGAGGACGAGGAAGAUGGCAGCAUGGCCAUGGACGCCAUGGAGUCGAGUGAUGACGGGGAGAACGACGACCUCUCCGAUGACGAGUAAUCGAAAAGAGAAAAAGCAAAAAAAAACGAGUUGCUGUAGAGGCGGAGGCGGAAAGGGCGCCUUUCCGUUUGUGCGCCGCGAGUUGAACGCGUAACAGAUGAUCCACAUAAAGACCCGUGAACCAGAGCAAGCACCCGCACACAACAUGAGAUCAUGGAGGAACCUCCAUCGCUAGGCAAAUGUGUUUCACGUGCAGCAUGCCGCCGUUGGCUUCCUGGUCUGUUGGGAGACUGCGAGGUGGAGGACGAAAUCCGAAGGAGACGGCGAUGCCGAAAUAUGCAAACACACGCAUGUGUGCACGUGCGAUGAGGCGUACGUGAGGUUAUCGGGUGAUGGCGCAGUUGAUGAAGGAAGCAAAUCUAAGAGUCACAGGGCAACCAACGCGAGUCACUUACCCCCCAUAUCCACCCACACAUGCACAUACAUGUACGCAUGCGCAGCUUCUAUGCUGCGGAUCCGCACAGCUGCUUCCAUUUUUUUUCUCAAGCCGCGAGUGGUGGCGUCAGCUCUGUGUGUGCGUGCGUGCGCGCACGCAUCCUUCUCUCUUGGCUUCAUCUUCGGUAUCUCGCCAAGCAACCACCCAGUCGCCAUACACCUUCUCUUGUGCACUGCUCGGUUCAUCUCUCUUCACUCACCUUUCGUAUUCUGCCCACCUGAACGUCGCGCAUCUCUUCAG
Molecule: unclassified non-coding RNA, 1419 nt
Filed under: Leishmania donovani
Lineage: Eukaryota; Euglenozoa; Kinetoplastea; Trypanosomatida; Trypanosomatidae
Description: gene:LdHU3.07.0810(CDS-product:hypothetical_prote in_conserved)
Source: RNAcentral